RNAcentral lists this long non-coding RNA (9815 nucleotides) under Mytilus galloprovincialis (Mediterranean mussel). Lineage: Eukaryota; Metazoa; Mollusca; Bivalvia; Mytilida; Mytilidae. The record is from RNAcentral.
GUUUGAGAAUUGUAAUAUUUCUGUAUUUUUUCAAAAUAAAAUCAUUUCACACUGCGUAAGCAUAUGUUACAAAUGUAUACUGUAUAAACAGUGCCGUGGGAAAUAAGAUGAGCCUUUGUAUGUAAGCCGAGAAGUAAACAUGGUAAGACAUUUCUUUUCUUUAAUUUUUUUCUUAAACAUUUUUAUGAAGAUAGUAGUUUCACUUUCAAAUGGCAAUCCACAUGCGUAUUGGUAAUACAAAAAUCAUUAAUUGUCAUUUUCUCUAAUGUAAUUGAUUUAAACAUUACAUCAAUUAAUGUUAUUCUGAUGUUUUCAGUUUUUGAACCAAUAGCCUAAAACAUCAGAAAUUGUUUGCUCAUAAAACGUAUUAGCUUUUGAAAAGACUUAAAAUUGCGUUGUACCUCAAACUGCCUCAUUUUGUCUAAAAUGAAAUAAUUUAAAAUAAAACACAAUAAUUGUAUUUUCUAGAUUAUGUAUCAUUAAUUUUAUUUUUAAAAUUGCUUUAUUUUUGUUUUUUUAUUUCGAAUAUAAAAAUUAUUGAGCAUUUUUUUUUUAAAUCAUUUAAAUAAAUUACUUUAAUAGAAAAUGUAAUUAUUAUGAAAUGUUGGUAUUUGCGUUUUCUUGUUACAUUUUAAAUACAAUAUGAAUAUAUCAUUUGUGGAUCAUUGUCUGCGCUGUCUGUGUUAUUGAAUUCAUGACUAAAAUAUCGUCAUCAUAAUAAAAUAAUUGAUAACAUAAUUAAUUUUUAACGUAAUAAAUCUGAGAUUCAGCUUAUUUGGCUUUAUAAAUAUUUUGAUAUGAGCGUCACUGAUGAGUCUUAUGUAGACGAAACGCGCGUCUGGCGUACUAAAUUAUAAUCCUGGUACCUUUGAUAACUAUUAUUCGAUUGCUUUAUUUAUUUCAAGAAUCUGUACAACUUUUUUUUUAUUAUAUUGAUAAAUUUUGCUUUGUCAGUAAUAUUCUAGACGAAAAACACUUGCCUUGUAAGGUAUUUUUUUUCUUCAAAUAAUCAAAAUACAAUCAUUUUGAUUGUUUAUUUUUCAAUUGCAUGUGUUUAAUGUGUUUAAGACAUUGGUUAUUAUAUUUUCAAUUUCUAAAUUACGUAUAUUUUGAAACGAUUAUUUGUUUUAUCAUUUCUUGAGUAAAGUAUUUUUCGAUCGAAUUUAAUUGUAAAAUAUUGACUAAUUAUAUGGAAACUGAAAAUAAAAUAGUUGAAAACUAAAGAAUAUAAGAAUAAAAAUAUUAUUAUUCCAAUCAAGGGCCCUUGAUGGGUACCAUGACAUAUAUACAUACAAAACAAUAGAUUGUAAUUUGUAAUAGAAAAACAUUGAAAAGAAGUAUUAAAAGUUCAUAUACCUGCUACCAUGAUAGAAUUACAUAUAUUUCUUCGUUAUAUUUACAAAAAGUAAAAUAACAAAAGAAAUGAAUUGAUUUUACCUUAACAGUAUACCUUCUGACCACCCUGAUUGAAAUUACCUAAAAAUCAUUUAUCAAAACAUCCACAAAUAUCUCCUGUUUCGUAACUUGAAAAAUCAUUCAUUUUCUGAUAGAAAUUCACAGCGUGUCGUCGAUUUGAUAACUGUCCGGUGGAAAAAAAAACAUGUAAUAGACUUAAGCACAUAUCUCCUCCGGGCGUCAAGGAAACGAAAACAAAAUAAUCACAACAUCAAAAGGAAAAAACUGUUGCAGCAGAAAAUGUCCGGAUUGUACGGGUUUCGUCGUCUACGUGAGCGAAAUAAAAGCAAAAGGAGUUUUGAGUGUGCAAUUGUUUAAAUCCGGAACAUAAAGUCAUAAAUAUAUCAAACUUAGUCCCCAAUCGCCACGGCAAACGCAUUAAACAGUAGAUAUCCAUUAAGCAUUGUUCUUUUAUGGCCCAUAAAACUCUCUCGGUCUCCUUUCAUCUAAAACACUGAGUAAAUGAAAACAAAAACUGAACGCAUAUUUCAACUUUUUACUUUAUUUUAAAAUAUUCUAGCUGCAAGAGCUUAGGCAGUAAAUUUUAAAUUAUUGUUUUUUCGAGAGGCAAGUUAUUCGCAUCGAACAACAGAAAUACCGAUAGGAAAUUCUCACAACCGGUGAAAAAUGUAUUUUGGUUGAUGAUAGAUUUUUACAAUAUUUUGUUUAUAAAUACAAAACAGAAUUCUUGAUUAAUAAAAAAAAACAUGAACAAAUUUCAUCGUUUGAUAAUAAUAAAAAAUUGAAAGUAUUAUUUCUGUAACAAUAUUUACUUUCGAAAAACUGUGCACAGUAGCUAAAAGUUAAUACAAACUAUUUUUUAUAGAAGCAAUACAUAAGUUUUUGCUGUAUUAUAACCAAAAUAAUUGUAAAAUUUAGCAACUAAUACACAUUUUCCUUCACCAGUUAUACAAAUAUUUUUCGUUUCAGGAUUUUUUUCCCUAAAAAUGUAUACACACAAUCUUUCAAUUACAAAAAUGAGAGGAUAUGAAAAUUUGCUUUAUCAAAUAGUAUCGCAAUAAUUUAUAUAUAUAUAUAUAUAUAUAUAUAUAUAUAUCCCAUGACACGGCUUAUCAACAUUUAUGUCGCUACACUGAAAUUUUUCUACAUGUAUUUAAGAAAAUUCUAAUAACAUUGUAGUGUUGUUGUCAAAUUUGUGUGUCGAAUGUUUAUAGAUAAAUCAAUACACAGUAAUUUUUGCUAAUUUAUAUUUAGUAAAUGUUAUAUUUCUGCUAGAUAUUCAAAUUUUCAAACCCUAACCCUUCUUACUCUUUCAGAAAUGAAAGUAAAACUAUUCCCUCCGUGUUAAAAUUGUCUACUUACAUCAACGAACAUUUAAUUUUUACAUCUCACAUAUUCCUGGUAUAAACCAAAGUUGUUUUACCGAAACAACCUUUCUCCAGAUAAGCAAAGAAAAUAAUGAGCAAAUUUGAUAAAAUGAUCCUUUAUUAGUAUUAUGGACGCUAAUAAAUUAACAAUUUUGGCGUUUUAUUGCCAAUUUAGUGCAGUAUAAUGUCAGAUAAUUCUCCAACAAAUGCCCAACAUAAAUAAUCUUUUGACAUUUUAUAUGAUCAUUUUACCUGCUUAAUUAUCAACUGGACACAUUUAAGUUCAGGGCUAUUAAGUUUAGAACACAAAUAAAACAUUAACAUUAUUUAAAUUAAUUGAAACAAAUAAAUUGAAAAAGGGUCGCAUGAAGACGUAAAGACAGAUAAAUUAUCUAUAAAUGGAUGAUAAAAAUGCUUGAACUUGAAUUCGUCAACGUUUAAUAAUAGUAUAUAAACAAUACUGUUUGUAGAUAUCUUUCAAAGAAAAAAAAGAAAUAGUAUCUACGUUUUAUGAUAAUAGAUUUCAUCUAUUUGGAAAUUGAUAUGUAAUAGAUCGUAUUAUAUUGAGGUAUUUGAGGUUUAAAACAUAGAUAAUAACAAUUUAUGAAUUCUACUUUAAUGUCAGUAAGUAAAUAAAGCAACACAAUUUUAUCGUUGAUAUUUUGAGACAAAUAAUGAUAAGUAACAGUUCCAAAAUUAUACGAGUUAUUUCCCUUUGAACAUUAAGACGAUCGAACAGAUGACUGCUUAAACCGCUUAGCGAUACUCGUUAACAUUAAUCAAAAAAGGUUACACAUCUAAAUAGAUAAGAUGAAUAUGAUGUAGUGCAAUGUGAAAAUUUACUUAUUUCAUUCCAUAUUAAUCAAUACUAUUUAUGUUAAAUUCAUUUUCAUAUUUCUGUUAAAAGUUCAGCUUGCAUUUGUCAGAAAGUAGACGUAUUGUUGCCAAUGCCAAGGGGUACAAUCAAAAUCACGUGAUGGAUAUACACACACCGGAAGUAACAGUCGAGCAGACCGCUUGAAAGGUAAGUAGUCGUAUUUACUUGUUUAUAUCAAUAAAAUUUAAUAAAUAAGGUAGUGCACCGAAUGUAGGAUACUAUCUAAUUUUGAAAUACACAAUUAUCCUUGCUGGAAAGCGUGCAGUUAAUGCGAACACUUCCACACAGUUCCAAAAUUUCACCGUCGAAGUGUUUGCAAUAACUGCACGCUUUCUGGCAAAAACAAUUGUGUAUUUUAAAACUACAUACUAUCCGACAUUCGGUGUGCCAACUUAUUAAUCAAAAUUUAAUUGAUAUAAACAAGAAAAUGCAACUUCUAACCUUUCAGGCGGCGAGUUCGACUGUAACUUCCGGUGUGUGUAUAUCCAUCACGUGAUUUUGAUUGUACCCCUUGAAUGCAUUGUCUUCAUCAGAAUGCAAAUAAAAAUGUAGAAUUAAAAAAAUAUAAAUGUUAGUUGUAAAUAUUGACACAUUUCUUUUUAAUUGACAGGUAUAUAUGUCUGAAUAAUUUCAAUCUAUGACUUUUAAAAGGUUUGGACUCCGAAUCUCAAUACGUGGCGUCAUACCUAGAAUGAUCUUUUGACAGUCAACUCGUAGACUUCUUCCUCAGGUGGGGCUUAAGUCACGAAAUACUUUAAUAUACUUAUUGUAAUCAAAAGCCAAACCCUAAAUGUUUUAAGUACCAAAAUUGUCCCCUUUGCUGUAACGUAUCCUCAAAACCGACAAUCCCUUUGGAAUUCAUUCAUGAUCAAUUGUCACACGCUUGAUGAAGUACCAAAGAUGUUUUCCUUUUACUUCAAUAUGAUAUGGAAUUUCAUAUGAGCGAGCAGGAACUUAUAUAUUGCCUGUAUGUAUAAUGUUCCCAGCAGUAAUAGAUAACUUUUUCAUACUGUUUAAGAAUAUAGUAUGCUAAGUAAUAUUAUUGCUUAAAGUUUUUUGGUGACCAUGGAUUUUUCUUUUUAUACACAUACCCGGAUGAGAUAUUAUCAGUAAGUUGAAAUCACCUAUACAAUGUCAUUAAUUAUGGUCGUUUGGGAAAUAAAAAAAAUGAAAUAAAAAUAACUUUUUGCAUGCAAAAGCGUGAACUCUGAAUGCAACCAGUCCAAUUUUGUUGUAACCGUUUAGUUUCUUAAGUUUAUUAAUUUAACAUUACUCUUUUCUGCGUACAAACAUUAGUUGAAAAGUACAUCAAUUGAACCAAUCAAAGUAGAACAUGUUUAUCUUUAUCACAUGUUAAAUUACUGUACUUAGUACACACACUUUUAAAUAUGUUCUGUCUUUCCCAUCAGUCCUUUGAUAUUAUGUGGACUGUUCACUUCUUUCCAAUUAAACCUUUGAUAAUCUUUGACUUCUCCGUUUCGUUCCCAUCAGCCCUUUUGGUUUCAAUUCUAAAGAAACAGAUCCGAUUAUACAAAACAACUGGUUACUCCUUUAGUUGAAACAAUUUUACAUAUGAAGUUUCUUCAAGUUCCCGUCAUUCGUUUGAUGUUUUCACUCUUCUUUUCUUUCCGAUCAGUUUUUUUAUAAUCUUUGGUUUACUCGGAUCUUUCCUAUCAGUCCUUUGAUAUUCUUUGGACUCCUUUUUCUACAGAAACAGAUCCAAGUAUGUAAAAUAAUUCAUAAAUCUGUACAACUGGUAACUAUUCUUAGUUCAAACAAUUUUACAUAUAUCAUUUCUUUCCUGUCAUUCAGUUGAUUAUUUUACUCUUCUGUUCUUUCCGAACAGUUCUUUGAUAUUCUUUGAUAUUCUUUGGACUCUUUCUUUUCUUUCACAAGAAUCCUUUGAUAUUUUUUUUUGAUUUUUCGUUUUCUUUAGAAACAGAUACAAUUAUAAAACACAAUUUUCAAUUCUGAAGAACUGGUUACUGUACUUAGUUCAAACAAUUGUACAUAUUAUUUCUUUCUUUCGCAUCAUUCAUUUGAUUUUUUAGCCUCUUGUUUUCUUUCAGAUUAGUUUUUUUUUUUAGAUUCUUUGGAUUCUUCUGUUCUUUUCCAUCAGCCCUUUGAUACUCAUUGGACUUUUCGGACCUCUCCUAUCAGCCCUUUGAUAUUCUUUUGACUUUUCGUUUUCCACAGAAACAGAUACAAUUAAAUAAAACAAUUUUCAAUUCGGGAACAACUUGUUACUGUAUUUAGUUCAAACAAUUUUACAUAUGUCCUUUCUUUCCCAUCAUUCAUUUGAUUUUUUACUCUUCUUUUCUUAUUAUCAGUUUUUUUUAUUCUUUCUCAUCUGACCUUUGAUAAUCUUUCUCUUUUUCGUUUCUUUCUCUUCAGCCCUCUGAUAUUCUUUGGGAUCUUCGGUUCUUUCCCAUCAGCCCUUUGAUAUUCUUUGGACUUCUUUUUUUCUACAGAAACAGAUGCAGUUAUAUGAAGCAAUUUUCAAUUCUGAACAACUGGUAAGUUCGUAGAGUUCACAAAUCAGGCCAUCUGAUUAGAUAAAUUAAAACAGCAUCUGUCAAUUAUGAUGGAAAUACUUCAAUCCAUCUACUCUUAUGAUCAAGAGUUUCGCAUUUUGAAGUUGGUACUUGUCUCUGAUCUGCAUUCCAAAUAUAAAACCAUCUAUGAUUGCAUAAUUGCUUACAUACUGCUGCAUGUCGUAGAUCAAUUAAAAACGUCAAACUUUAACAUCGUGGCGGAAUAUGAUAUCUUUAUGACGUUCCAAACACUAAAUUCGCUGCAGGUUUAGAAAAAAACGUUUGCCAAAACAUUUAAGUGACCUUGCAAUCAAUUAUUUUGGUAGGAAAAGCGCUUACAUAAAUUUUAUUGUUCUUUCAACACUUAAUAUGAUACCAAAAGUAACAAUAUAUCAAGAAAAUUGUUCUUUUUAUUGAGUGUUAAUUGUUGUUUAUGGUAAAAAUCAUCAUAAAAUUGAAUUUAAUGAUAACUACCGUUUAAGAACUGUGAGAAGAUUUACGAGUCUACUAGAGUUUUAAUGUUGUAAUAAUCUAUUCAAUAUAUAAAUAAACACUUCAAUUAAGUAUAGAUGUUAGUGUUUGUUUACAUCUUUAAUUUUAACCUGAAAGUUUGAAUGAUUGCAAGAAUGAAUUAAAUAUACUAUAAAAACUUUUAAUAACAGUAAUAAUGAUACCAAAAUAAUAAUAAUAAUAAUAAUAAUAAUAAUAUAAUUAAUAAUAAAUAAUAAUAAUAAUAAUAAUAAUAUACCAACGGGGGAUGAUCAAUGGCAAUAUCGGCGCGAGCUUUAAAGACAUAUAUAGAAUUUAGCAAUGACAAAGCACAAGGUAUAUUCAAAGCCAAACUUUUGGAAAGCAAAAUAUACAAAACAUUUCAAAACAACACAAACAAAAGACACAAAAAGUUACGUGAAACAUUAGUAGUAGCACUUAUACUAAUAAUUUACAAGAAUAAAGUACUAUUUUAAUUACUUACCCUAUCGGAGCACCUGCUAUCAUUCCGGUGUUGGUCAGACUUUUAUUAUAUGUGUUGUGUUUUGUAUACUGUUGUCUAUCGUUGUUCUUUUUUCUUUUUAACCAUGUUGUUGUCAGAGUUAGGAAUAUGGCAGUUGUUUUCAUUUGUUCUUUUGAUUGAAAGCGUUUGUGUUGCCUCCCUUUUUUAUUUGCCUGGGAGUUCAGUUUUUUGUUACAGUGUUUUUACAAUUAAAUGUAUAAGCACUAGCUAUACUAGUAAAUCAACCAUUAUGUAUUUUGUUCUAUAAUAAAGCAGACAAAGUAUUUGAUAUUAGGUGGACAUGACACACACAUGUUUAAAAUGACAGACGUUCAAAUAGGGAGAAAUCGGGCAUGCAAUUCGUUGUUUUUCCUAUUUUAUGUGUUUACAAUUACUCAGGCAUCAAGCAAAUAUUAAUCCGUAUAUUUAACUAUUACAUUACGUUUUAGGUACAAAUAGCGACAUCUUGUGUUACUGUAAACGUAUACUUAAAUAAAAUGAUUUUUCGACUUUUAAUCAAUUUCAAUUAACUAAUAAACAAUGAUCAAUACGAUACUGAAAGUACAAAAAAUGUAAUACGAAUACUCUCUAUAGUUACUUCUUUGAUACUUCAAAGUAGCAACCGUCCUACCUAACUAACAUUUUGAAUCGGAUACUAUUUGACGAUCGCAAUGACUCAGUCAUUUAAAAACCAUUCGUAAACAUGGGCUUUUACUUAGGCAAAUCAAUUUCACAUCAGUUUCACUGAUUUCAAAGCUUAUCUAAUUUCUUAUUCAAUUACACAGCAUCAAGUCCAAAAGAAUAAAUAUUUUAGAAGCGUGGCGCUAUGAUCAUAAACGUAAUAUUUAAGCAUAAAAUUGACCGGCGCCGGCUUCAAAGUUGACAAACAGCGAAUUAUGAAUAAAGUUAUCAAAUACCCAUUUUUGGACAGGAUUUCAUUUAAGGGCGUAACAAUGCUUAUAUCUACACAAACAUGGCCUACUGUGGAUCAAAUCAAUCAUUCCUAAAUGAUCUUUGCAAUACUGAACAUAUUAAAACGUCAUAAAUUGUCUUAUUUUUUCUUUGCGUUUGUUUUCUCUUCUAUCAGAUUAUAACCUCAGAAUAAAUUUCGUUUGAUUUGUAACAUGUAAUCAUGAUGUUGUCUACUGCAAUACCUUUAAAAAUUAGUAUCCAAACUUUAUUCUUUGCAGAAAAUCUACUAUUUAAGGCAUUAAAAGGUGGGAGGAAUUGAAUUUACUUUAUCCUUUGAACACAUUUCGAAUUGAAGUUUAAACAUAUUUAUUUAUAGUGGAUUGGGAAACAAGUUUUGCAACUUAUAUUAAUCCCUUUCCACUUUGCGGGUGCAUUAGCCUACUCUUUUUCGAAAUCUACAAGGGUGUCUUUAACGUGCAAGAGAUAUGGCUCUCUCUUAACACGGGUCAGCCAUUUAUGGCCCCCUUCCGACGGACUAUCAUCGUUUCCUCAAGACCAUACUCGCAAAUUGAAAGACAAUUCUUAUCUAUAUUUUUGUUUUUUAACAGAUAAAUACAACCAGUUCCACACUAAAGACAAUCAUCAUUACAUUAACGCUUGUUCUUAAUUGUAUUCUAAACAAAUUCAUAUUCUGUUAUUAAAUUUGAUUAUAAAGGACGUUUUGUCGAUGUCCAGAUAUAAAUAUAAUCCAAAUAGUGUUUAUGUAUCAGUAUUUACAAGGAACGCCAUUCGCCCUUUUAGCAAUCUUGGAAUUGUCAGUUUUCCUGUCGAAUGUUAUCUUCGGCUUCCUCUAUCAAUACAAUAAAUGAAAGCCACGAUAAUGCCAAUAUUAUUGAAAGUGCAUUAAACACAUAACAAUCAAUCAAUCAAACUCUGUUAACAUUGCCGAUUUUAUGAUUUAGUAGUAUAUAUUUGCAAUACCGAAUACCGAAAUUUGUCACUUAGCCCAUAUAUUUUGGCUGAUUACAUUGUCAUCGUCAAAAACAACAGAGACGGGGUGUGCUAUACAGCCCUAAAACUUGUAACUGAAAAACAAAUUUAAAAAAAUCACUUAACCCAGGCUAGUUUUAAAAUGAAUUUAAACACAUUUAAAUAUUUCAUUUCAGGACUUGAGGAUAAGCAAUGAACACGAUAUUGGAUAAUACGACAUAAUCUACACGAAAAUGGCAACAGAGUAAAAUGUAUCCCGCUAUGAGCACUUUUGGAAGCACAGAACUUCAACAAAAUCUGUUUGAUAAAUAUAUUUCCUGCAAUCACUUCACCCACAGAAAUAUAUCAGAAAGUUACAGAGACUAUCAAUUUCACUCCACUAUAAACAAUGAUAUGAGACCGGGCAAUAAUUCAUAUGUCCGUAGGUUGAACAGUGGAUAUAAAUAUCGUGGACAGACAAUCAAAAAUCCGUCUGACAAUGGUACUAAUGAAUCAAGGGUUUAUGAUCCAGACAUAAAUCAAAGAUGUAGUAACUAUAACCAGGAGUUGGACAGAACUUUAUAUCAUAACAUGGGGCAAAAAUACGCUGUUCGUGGGAUAGAAGACUCAACUGUUCAAAGUACCCUCGUAAAGACUGAUAACAUACGAGUAGAUCCAAAUAGCGACGAGAGCGACGACGGAGAUGCGAUGACACGUCGUAUGUACCCUUGGAUGAAAUCAAACGGUGG